Molecule: ribosomal RNA, 483 nt
Filed under: uncultured bacterium
Lineage: Bacteria
Description: partial 16S ribosomal RNA
Rfam family: Bacterial small subunit ribosomal RNA
Source: RNAcentral
GACGAACGCUGGCGGCGUGCUUAACACAUGCAAGUCGAACGCGGAAGCCCAGCUUUUGUUGGGUGGAUGAGUGGCGAACGGGUGAGUAACACGUGAGUAACCUGCCUCCUUCUUUGGGAUAACGCCCGGAAACGGGUGCUAAUACUGGAUAUUCACUGGUCUUUGCAUGGGGGUUGGUGGAAAGCGCGUUUCUGGAGGCGGAUGGGCUCGGGGCGUAUCAGCUUGUGGGUGGGGUGAUGGCCUACCUAGGCUUUGACGGGUAGCAGGCCUGAGAGGGUGACCGGUCAGAUAGGGACAGCGACACGGCCGAGACUGAGACACGGGGCAGAAGUGGACGAGAGGGCACAGUGGGCGAUAGCGCAAUGCAGCGGCGACGCGUGAGGGAUGGCGGCCUGCGAAUUGAGAAGCUCUUUCGUACAUAGUCAAGCCUCAACAAUGAUUGUGGUGAGGGUACUGGGUAAAGAAGCGCCGGCUAACUACGUG